Vicia faba (fava bean) is the source of this 357-nucleotide non-coding RNA. NCBI's taxonomy places the organism in Eukaryota, Viridiplantae, Streptophyta, Magnoliopsida, Fabales, Fabaceae. The record is from the annotation of a GenBank genome assembly.
AUGAUGCUGAUGAAGGUUGUUGAAUUACAAAUAUUGAAGAUUCUUGAAGAACCUUUGAAUCACCAUGAUCACACACUUCUAUUCAUCAUUCUUCUUCAACGAACCGCAACCGUUUCUAUUCGUCACUCCAGCAUAUCCGGAAGAAUUGUUCGGGAAAAAUGUUUGGAUCUUAUUCCGCGUAGGUGCAGGUUUGGAGCAAGAGUCUUGGAGCUUAUCCUUGGCAUAUUAUUGAAGUACCUUGGUCAGAAAAGUAUGGCAGUGGGUAUUGGUGAAAGUUACAACAAUGUUUUGGAGCUGAAUCAAAGAUGUGCCAUGGAAGCUUGGAGCUUUGACCUUAGAUUUAGGCAAACUGGUUGA